AGCUUUGGUGCAAGCUUACUAUUACCUGUAGAUAUGAUUACACAUGCCAGCAUCCACGCCCCCGUGCCCUCGUCCUUCCCCCUGCCCCACACAGACUAGGACCUGGUAUCAGGCACACCACUAAAAGUAGCCCACGACACCACGCCUUUGCCACACCCCCACGGAACCCAGCAGUGAUUGACAUUAAGAAAUAAGCCCACGCUUGACCUAGCUACCCCUACCCAAACGGGCCGGUAAAUUACGUGCCAGCCACCGCGGUUACACGUAAGGCCCAAGAUAAUAGCCCCCGGCGUAAAGAGUGACCAAACAGAUCGGACCAUAAAAGAAAUUAGCACUACAAUAAAGCCGUAAAAUGCCCAUACACAGCAAGAAUUACAACAAAUUUCUUCGCAUGCCACCUAAAACGCCACGAAAGCCAGGGAACAAACUAGGAUUAGACACCCUACUAUGCCUGGCCGUUAACCACAGCAGUCACACCAACAAACUGCUCGCCAGAGGAUUACAAGCGAAAAGCUUAAAACUCAACGGACUUGACGGUGUUCCACACCAACCUAGAGGAGCCUGUCCUAUAAUCGACACCCCACGCUAAACCUCACCCCACCUUGACAAUCCCGCCUAUAUACCGCCGUCGUCAGCCUGCCCAAUGAUAGACCCACAGCAGACAAAAAAGUGCCUCACCCACUAAAACGUCAGGUCAAGGUGUAGCUAAUGGUGGGGGCAGAGAUGGGCUACAUUCUCUAAUACUAGAGAACCCACCACAAGCGACAUGAAAUAUUCGCCCAAAGGCGGAUUUAGCAGUAAAUCACGGUAAGACAACCCAUGUUGAAAACCCGCUCUGGAAC
RNAcentral lists this non-coding RNA (842 nucleotides) under Geckolepis maculata. Its description in RNAcentral is "partial 12S ribosomal RNA". It matches the Rfam family "Bacterial small subunit ribosomal RNA", at positions 10 to 1380 of the family's 1533-position model. The record is from RNAcentral. Lineage: Eukaryota; Metazoa; Chordata; Lepidosauria; Squamata; Gekkonidae.